This 328-nucleotide ribosomal RNA is filed under the name uncultured bacterium. RNAcentral's name for it is "bacterial SSU rRNA". It matches the Rfam family "Bacterial small subunit ribosomal RNA", at positions 28 to 334 of the family's 1533-position model. The record is from RNAcentral.
GACGAACGCUGGCGGCAUGCCUAACACAUGCAAGUCGAACGGAGUUACUUAUUUAGAUCCCUUCGGGGUGACGAAUAUUUAACUUAGUGGCGGACGGGUGAGUAACGCGUGAGGAACCUGCCCUACAGAGGGGGACAACAGUUGGAAACGACUGCUAAUACCGCAUAACGUAUUUUAGGGACAUCCCUUUAAAUACCAAAGGAGCAAUCCGCUGUAGGAUGGCCUCGCGUCCGAUUAGAUAGUAGGCGGGGUAACGGCCCACCUAGUCGACGAUCAGUAGCCGGUCUGAGAGGAUGAACGGCCACAUUGGGACUGAGAUACGGCCCAG